This 253-nucleotide ribosomal RNA is filed under the name uncultured bacterium. Its description in RNAcentral is "partial 16S ribosomal RNA". It matches the Rfam family "Bacterial small subunit ribosomal RNA", at positions 524 to 776 of the family's 1533-position model. The record is from RNAcentral.
UACGAAGGGGGCUAGCGUUGCUCGGAAUUACUGGGCGUAAGGGGAGCGUAGGCGGAUAGUUUAGUCAGAGGUGAAAGCCCAGGGCUCAACCUUGGAAUUGCCUUUGAUACUGGCUAUCUUGAGUACGGAAGAGGUAUGUGGAACUCCGAGUGUAGAGGUGAAAUUCGUAGAUAUUCGGAAGAACACCAGUGGCGAAGGCGACAUACUGGUCCGUUACUGACGCUGAGGCUCGAAAGCGUGGGGAGCAAACAGG